UCUGGUUGAUCCUGCCUGAACUGAUGUGUUUAUUUCAAAGAUUAAGCCAUGCAUGUAUAAGUUUAAUCGUUUAUCGAGAAACCGCGAACGGCUCAUUACAAUGGCCAUGAUUUACUUGAUCUUGAUUAUCUAAAUGGAUAACUGUGGAAAAGCUAGAGCUAAUACAUGCACUAAAGCUUUGUCCUUACAGAAAAGCGCAUUUAUUAGAACAAAACCACGCGGCUUCGGCUGCUUCUUGUUGACUCAGAAUAACUAAGCUGACCGCAUGGCCUUGUGCCGGCGGCGUGUCUUUCAAGCGUCCACUUUAUCAACUUGACGGGAGCAUAAUCGACUCCCGUGGUGGUGACGGAUAACGGAGGAUCAGGGUUCGACUCCGGAGAAGGGGCCUGAGAAAUGGCCACUACGUCUAAGGAUGGCAGCAGGCGCGCAAAUUACCCACUCUCGGCUCGAGGAGGUAGUGACGAGAAAUAACGAGACUGUUCUCUUUGAGGCCGGUCAUCGGAAUGGGUACAAUUUAAACCCUUUAACGAGUAUCAAGCAGAGGGCAAGUCUGGUGCCAGCAGCCGCGGUAAUUCCAGCUCUGCAAGUACAUAGAAUUAUUGCUGCGGUUAGAAAGCUCAUAGUUGGAUUCGUAUCGAUACCUUGGAACCCUUCGGGUGUCUCUAGGUGUUAUCGAUUUAUCGUAAUGUUCGGUUUUGAGUCCUUAACAGGAUUCUUAACAGGCAUUGCAAGUUUACUUUGAACAAAUCAGAGUGCUUCAAACAGGCGUUUUCGCUUGAAUGAUCGUGCAUGGAAUAAUAGAAAAUGAUUUCGGUUCAGUUUUAUUGGUUUUACGGACUGAGAUAAUGGUUAACAGAGACAAACGGGGGCAUUUGUAUGGUCCCGUGAGAGGUGAAAUUCUUGGACCGUGGCCAGACAAACUACAGCGAAAGCAUUUGCCAAGAAUGUUUUUAUUAAUCAAGAACGAAAGUCAGAGGUUCGAAGGCGAUCAGAUACCGCCCUAGUUCUGACCGUAAACGAUGCCAACUAGCGAUCCGCCGAUGGAAAUUAUAUUGCCUUGGUGGGGAGCUUCCCGGAAACGAAAGUCUUCCGGUUCCGGGGGAAGUAUGGUUGCAAAGCUGAAACUUAAAGGAAUUGACGGAAGGGCACCACCAGGAGUGGAGCCUGCGGCUUAAUUUGACUCAACACGGGGAAACUCACCCGGCCCGGACACUGUGAGGAUUGACAGAUUGAUAGCUUUUUCAUGAUUCAGUGGAUGGUGGUGCAUGGCCGUUCUUAGUUCGUGGAGUGAUUUGUCUGGUUUAUUCCGAUAACGAGCGAGACUCUAACCUACUAAAUAGUUGGUACAUACUCUUAGUGUAUACAGCUUCUUAGAGGGAUUUGCGGCGUUCAGCCGAAAGAAAUUGAGCAAUAACAGGUCUGUGAUGCCCUUAGAUGUCCGGGGCUGCACGCGCGCUACACUGGCAAAAUCAACGUGCUUGUCCUACCCUGAAAGGGGCGGGUAAACCAUUGAAAAUUUGCCGUGAUUGGGAUCGGAAAUUGCAAUUAUUUUCCGUGAACGAGGAAUUCCAAGUAAGUGCGAGUCAUCAGCUCGCGUUGAUUACGUCCCUGCCCUUUGUACACACCGCCCGUCGCUGCCCGGGACUGAGCCAUUUCGAGAAAUUUGGGGACCGUUGAUUUAAUUUUUCUAAAUUACUUUGAUGGAAACCAAUUUAAUCGCAGUGGCUUGAACCGGGCAAAAGUCGUAACAAGGUAGCUGUAGGUGAACCUGCUGCUG
This 1777-nucleotide ribosomal RNA is filed under the name Meloidogyne incognita (southern root-knot nematode). RNAcentral describes it as "SSU rRNA". It matches the Rfam family "Eukaryotic small subunit ribosomal RNA". The record is from RNAcentral. Lineage: Eukaryota; Metazoa; Nematoda; Chromadorea; Rhabditida; Meloidogynidae.